Molecule: long non-coding RNA, 2575 nt
Organism: Haliotis rubra (blacklip abalone)
Lineage: Eukaryota; Metazoa; Mollusca; Gastropoda; Lepetellida; Haliotidae
Exons: 3
Source: RefSeq, a predicted model, not a curated record
CGAAAGUAAGACUUGGAGGUAUCAUUAUUUCCUCCCCUCACAAUGUAUGCCAACAGCAAAUGCCAUCAUGGAUGUAUAAUAAAUUAAGUAAACGACUCAUUAAUGUGAACAACAUCAAAUGAAUGAAGGUCGUAUUUACUAACAAAUAUCAGCAAACUUGGAACUGACAAUAUAGCGACAUGAAUAAUACUUUUUUGUCUGUAAUUUCUUUUAUAGCCCAGCUUAUUCUGAAGGGUUGAUGCGUCCACUUACUCAGUGACAUACGUUGUUUAAUGGUUUGACUCAUUACUGUGAAUGUGAAUGUUAUUCUUCAUUACUUGUGUCUCAAUACGUAUAAUUCACUAUGCUCAGGUGAAUGUGCACCUUUAGCAAUAUAUGACAAGUAGGAAGAGCCCCCCAAAACGAACAUCAAAUACUCAACUGGUUGAGCAAACAGUAAAGCCGAAUAAUUUGGAAGCAGGAUUAAUGAACGCCGGUCUCAUUGCUGUAAUCGUGACUGCGAGUACCCAUUUUUAUCUUUGUUAGGUCAAUCUCGGAAUUUUAACAUAUGGGGGUUCUAUUUCACCCUCCGCUUUUAAAUUUGUCAAUUUCUUACAAAAAGUAUCAAAAUCUGCAAAGCUUCUUUUGUGAGUUAACCCGCUCUUGGCAUGAGUUAUCACUAUGUACAAUCGAUAGCGAACAUAUUACUUCAUACGUUGCGGCUUGAAGAACUAGUACUGUUAUCACGAACACAAACACGCACGUACGCACAAAUUAUUAUGAAAAACUCCUUCUUACUGAUCAUAAGAGAGUUUAAGAUUGACUCAUUUGAGGGCAACAAUUCAUCAAUACCAAGCUGAGAUCAAAAAGUCAGUUAAAGGGUCCAAAGGGUUUUACAUAUUCACUGUAACAUUACCACAUUCAGCAAGGUCGUGAUCGUAAAAGAACAAAUGACGCCCAACAGUAAUCCAUACCGACCUCAUCCGCUUGUACUUCAUCUCCUGUUUAGUGACAGGUCGUAUAUUCGGGGCAUGUUUCAACUCUUCUCAGCUACAGGAUUCACCUUAAAAUAUUAGUCUACGUUUUACAGCUUUACCAAAUUAACUUUGAUGACUAAUCAAAACUGUCUGUUUUCUCUUAUAGCAUAUGAUGCCGUUACGUGCCGUAACUGGGACAAAUUCCGAAUGUAAUCCUCUUCAACAGCAAGGAACAAACGAAAACUAUUUUAUUAUGGAAAUGUACAGGAUAUUUGGACAACAGUAGUUAUGCUGCUGUUGUCGAUAAUUCACAAACCUUGUUUCUUAAUGAUCCAUUCAAAUGUCCAUACACUAAAGUUCACAUGAAUGCAUGUGUUUUUUUCUGUCAGUGUGUCUUGUUAGUUUGUUUAUAUCUACAACAACAUUUAGUUUGGAUGUUUUUGGCAUUAUUUUCAUGCUCGAAUAUGUAUUUGAAUGGGUGUUAUGUCACUGUUACAUUUUUCUAAAUCCCUAAUCCCUAAAUAAGAUAUUAUGUUUAUCUAACGACACCUCUCAUGACAAUCGUAGUGUCGCAGUAUCAUUUGUUCACCUCAAGAAUAAACAGCACAAAAAGUGAUUUCAAGGCGGAAGUGUUUGCUCAGCCAACAUGAAUACAGCAAUGUUAUGAAAUGUUACUCCAUAUAUCUCUCUCUCAAGAUUGUCAAAUCCACUGGACCUGAAACUAGUCAUGCAUGCUGACACACGUCAGGGUGAAAUACAAGUCAGUACCACGAUAGUGUUGCAGUGUUCACACGGGUAUAGAUGUAGUUCCUCAUACACAGAUUGCAUAACUAAACGACUAAACAUACAUUUGUAACUGACAAAAGUUGCACUAUGGGUUUGUUAAAUCACAUCUAUCAGCAUAAAUAAUGCCACUAUUUUCCUAAGGUAUUAGCAAUUAUUAAGUUUCAGCGGCGGGCAGGUGUCGCCUAGGCGAUUAGAAGCUGUAAUCCCAGGUGUUUAUGCAGAACAUCGAUCGAAACAUCGGUGUCUCGUUGUUUUCAUGCAAGUUUCAUUUGAAAACAUAUAAUACCUAAUAUACAAUAAGAAUAGACGAGAGGUUGUUCUCAUCAACGAAUGCUGUAUCACCACACCUUGGAGGUGAUGUCAGUCGCCGCCGAAUGAUACUUACGUUUAUGGCAUUGUACGUCUUGUUAACAGCGAUCCCAAUGUCUUUAUGUAAUCUAAAUCUUUGCUUAUGAACAUAUUGAACCCAUCUUAUGGCUUUGUACGACGACACAAGCAUGAAAGGUGUUAUACUCGAUGGGGUUCCUGAACAUGAAAUCCAAAUCUAAACAACUCCUCUCAAAUAUUGGUGGUUGAGCAGUAGAAGAAGUUCUACUGUGUUGCACCUAUUAUUUAGAUGGUCCAUAAAGCCACAAAGGUUCGGGUGGCAAACACUAUUCAGCAAAAAACUUUCAGUAUUAUACCAGCUACUGAAGAGUUAUUGAAUUUGACGAAUAACGCUAAAACAUUAUGUAUGUUAUUAAAACAUGUCAUCUAAAACAUUUGCUCUUUUUACAGAAUAACAAUACAACUUACAAAUGUAACAUAUAUACAUUGUAGACUAUGAUUCAAAU